GUCGACUUUGGGUGGGACACGUAGGC
RNAcentral lists this non-coding RNA (26 nucleotides) under Cricetulus griseus (Chinese hamster). Lineage: Eukaryota; Metazoa; Chordata; Mammalia; Rodentia; Cricetidae. The record is from RNAcentral.